Anarrhichthys ocellatus (wolf-eel) is the source of this 1376-nucleotide long non-coding RNA. RefSeq lists it as uncharacterized. The transcript is spliced from 3 exons. Lineage: Eukaryota; Metazoa; Chordata; Actinopteri; Perciformes; Anarhichadidae. The record is from RefSeq and is a predicted model, not a curated record.
UACUUGUUUAUGUUUAGGGAACAAAAGUACUUGUUUAUGUUUAGGGAACAAAAGUACUUGUUUAUGUUUCGAGAACGAAAGUACUUGUUUAUGUUUAGAGAACAAAGGUACUUGUUUAUAUGGGGACUUGUGUUUUGUCCCCAUAAGGUAGGAAAGUCAACACAUUGACGUAAUCUGAUGAAACACACGUUCUUCUUCUUCUAUUUGAUUUACAGGUGAACCACAGCUGCAGUGAUUGAUCGUCUGAAUGUUCUCAGCGUUACGUAACAGACGGUUACAUAAAGUGAAGGACUGCAGAGUCAGUGAACACCUGCUGAACACCUGACAUCUGUGGUGCAUUCAGGGACAAUCUGACAUCUGACAGUCAGUAAACAACGGUUGGACAGAGCAAAGAAGUAAAUAAAGAUACCAACGAAGAAGAAGAAGAGUCUCAGCUGAUGUUUAAAACUAAGAGAUGUAGAGCUGGUCUCCUCUCAGGACCACAAACCGGUUCCUCCAGAGCUCCCUGAAGAUCCCUCGACCGCAGAACUUCCUGAUCCAGCCCACUUUGUCUGGCUGCUGGACCGCCUGCUGACCCGAGUCCUGAAGGCCCUGAAACACCAGAGAGAGAGGGGUCAGAGAGAGACCACCGACACCAGUAGAGUCUGGACCGAGUCCUGUAACACCAAAAUACAACAACAGGGUCAGAGAGAGACCACAGAGACCAGUAGAGACCAGUAGAGACAUCUACAUUUUCAGAGCAAGAAGAAGAAGAAGAUGAUGAAGACGUCGGAAAACGAGAGGAAGAGGAGGAAGAAGAAGACCAUGAAGCAGGGCAGAGAGCUGAGGAAGAGGAGAUGAUGAAGAUGUUCUCUACUUGUCUGACCCGCUUCAUUAAAUCAAAGGAAACACAGAGAAGAAGAAGUUUGAGGUACUUGUACUUUACUUUCUAUUUCAUGCUACGUUAUACUACAAACUACAAACACGACAUAUUGUUACAUCGGCUCGUCUUCAUAAAAGGUACUCUUCGUUUUAAUGCGUUUUUGGGAUGAAAGUUAGUAACACAUCAGUUUAUGCUCGUUACAUAUAUACAGUAUUUUCAAAAUAAAGUUCUGUCUUCACAGGAGACAAGUUAGGAAAAAACAAACCCGAUUAAAUCGUAUCGGGACCCUUCAGAUCUAUCCGGUGACCCUCUGGAGGGGCCCGAUCCUUAGGUUAAGAACCACUGGACUCACCUAGCGGACCGUAAAGUAUCAAGUCUUUUUAUAUUGUUGUACUAGUACUUUUACUUAAGUAGAGGGUCAGAGUACUUCACUGUGACAAGAUUGAAUGUUUUAUUUUGAGAUGAUCUUUAAAUAUAAAAACGGUUUUAAUAACUGAGAUCAAACUCAUUUUUA